GUGUUUUUCCGCGGGUCCUCCACAAGCAAGCGUUUUGGGCAACUUGGCUAACUAAAGCAAGAAUGAAAUUUAAUGGAAGGAUACAGCUAACUCACAGAGAAGGCCAAGAACCAGUCUUGGAAGAAGACAGGAACUAAGCCAGUUCUGGAGGAGCAGAAACGGUAACAACAUCCAACUGCUUUCUUCAUAAGAAGACUAGAAAAGUAUAAUGAAAACUAUAUGGAGAAGGAUAAACUUAAAGAAAUGCAAAAUACUACUGUGAAAGUCUGGCUUCUUCAAAACCGGGAUGUGGUCUCUUGGGUCUGUCUUGGUGCUAUUCUGAAACUUGUACUUUGUGGUGCCCCCAGUACAUGGACAGUUUUUCCAGAUAUUUGGCUUUACCAGUAAACAAAUUCUGAUACCAAGGAUCUCAUGUCUAAUAGAAUUCAAGUUUUUCAGAUGCUUCAAAACCAUUAAGUAGUGAAGAAGUGUAUCCUGAAUGCAAUAAUUUCCCAAUGAAAACCACAUGUAUCAGACUGAAUGGAUGCAAGCUGAUCAAAAUACAAUGUUGUGUUUCCCAUAAUCAUGGCGGAUUAUUUGUCUCUCCACAGAAAGCGUUAUUACUUUGCAGUGCUCAACAGGGGUUGAUGGGCAACCCUGACGUUUCCCCUCGGCGUCACUGACUCACGGAUGGACUUCUUCAUUAAAGCCGGCACCACACUUCUCCUGGUUUAAUGGGGAUAAAUAUAGCUACUCAAAGAGGGAAAACACUUUCCUAUCCAUGAAGAUAUUACAUCCAAGAGACGAAAGGAAAACCUGCUAAUUGAGAAUCGCACUUUGGUUUAAUUACACAGAUGCUAAAAUAAUGUAACUGAAGAUCCUUAAAAAUAUAAUUAUCCACUAUGAAAUGCUUGAGAGCAUGUUUUAUCUUUCUGCCUUUAAUGCACAUGAUCAAGAAAGAGCCAACAAAAGAAUCAUUCCUGGGUAAUUUGGGAAACUGGGACAUGUUUGGGU
Molecule: long non-coding RNA, 993 nt
Organism: Neogale vison (American mink)
Lineage: Eukaryota; Metazoa; Chordata; Mammalia; Carnivora; Mustelidae
Exons: 6
Source: RefSeq, a predicted model, not a curated record